GGCGCGUUACUCAAGCGGCAACGAGGGCUGCCUGUAAAGCAGUUGUCUUAGACUUCGCUGGUUCGAGUCCAGCACGCGCCA
RNAcentral lists this transfer RNA (81 nucleotides) under marine sediment metagenome. RNAcentral describes it as "tRNA-Tyr". It matches the Rfam family "tRNA". Rfam says of the family: Transfer RNA (tRNA) molecules are approximately 80 nucleotides in length. Their secondary structure includes four short double-helical elements and three loops (D, anti-codon, and T loops). Further hydrogen bonds mediate the characteristic L-shaped molecular structure. tRNAs have two regions of fundamental functional importance: the anti-codon, which is responsible for specific mRNA codon recognition, and the 3' end, to which the tRNAs corresponding amino acid is attached (by aminoacyl-tRNA synthetases). tRNAs cope with the degeneracy of the genetic code in two manners: having more than one tRNA (with a specific anti-codon) for a particular amino acid; and 'wobble' base-pairing, i.e. permitting non-standard base-pairing at the 3rd anti-codon position. The record is from RNAcentral.